GUAGGGUCAACUUUUAGAAACCAAAACAACAAUCACUUAACAACCACAACAAACCUCCAAAUCUUAGAGGACAAAUCUACAAACCCUUACUUGGACAGAGUCAAGGAAUACAGUUUCCGAAGAAAACAUCUUGAAACCCAAAUUGCCUGGACAGGAAACUAGGUGCGUAUCGUGCUACUGUUUACCAUUCUCAAGCAUCCUCACUAGG
This 208-nucleotide long non-coding RNA is filed under the name Nicotiana benthamiana. RNAcentral's name for it is "long non-coding RNA (NBEN_LNC001138)". The record is from RNAcentral. Lineage: Eukaryota; Viridiplantae; Streptophyta; Magnoliopsida; Solanales; Solanaceae.